Molecule: long non-coding RNA, 2696 nt
Organism: Peromyscus californicus insignis
Lineage: Eukaryota; Metazoa; Chordata; Mammalia; Rodentia; Cricetidae
Exons: 2
Source: RefSeq, a predicted model, not a curated record
GUGUUCGCUGUCUCAGGACUUGGGUUCUAAUCUCAGCUCUACCUGGCUGUGCUGCCUUCCAGUCUAAACCGGCUCACAAGUUAACGGGAAGAAAGGGUCCACACUCUCUGACAAGCAAGAAACCUUUUGGGGCUGUCUUCUCUUAUUUACCUACACACCUACUUACAGCUAACCUAGCUUGUGAAAAAGGCAGUCAACAGGAACCAGAUGCUUUAAGUAACAAAAUGUUCUGACUCUCUCUUCCGUUCCCACUAUACUUCCCGGAAGAUGGGGGAAUGUUUACAGGGGUGCUGAUCAAGUCUGUGGAUCUACCACUGUGAAGUCACACAGACAAUGGGCAGGAUCCACAAAGACGGCCUUGAAUAAUACAUUUUAUCUGCUACCGAGACUAUGGGUUUCCUGGUCACACACGUCAUUGUUUCACGCUGUCAUCUCAGAUGAUAUACUACGAGCACAAUCAUGACGAGAAGAGAAAACGGAGGCCCAAGAAGCUGCGCUGCUUCUUCGUACUCGCCCAGCAGUGAAACCAAGCCUGGAAGCAUCUGCAGCGCAGCCUUUCUGCGCAGCUGGCCCCUUGGAAGGCUCUGCCCGUCUUUAAUGUGCGAAAGCGUACCUCACUCUUUCUGAAAAGUUCAGUAUGGUAAGCCGACUUCGACAGUUGGAAUGGAAGUGAAAAGGAAGGUGGUUACGCCACAGAAGAGGUAGUGGUUGUGGUGUUGAGCAUGGUACCCAUCAGAUUUCCUAAGGCUGCAACUCAGCGGGCCUAUUGGAUCCACCAGAAAAACCAAAGAUUCUUCCACAAGUCGGACGCGCACGCCACCUGGUGUACACUGGGAGUUGUUUCAAAAAGCAUAAUUCCAUAAAUCUUCAAAUUUCCACCCAAGACCCCUUACUGCCUUCCUAAAGUCACAGUCCCUGUUCGUCUCUGAAGAUCCACGGUCUCUUUAUAGUUAGGAAUCCGUCCAUUUGGGACACUUUACUUAUGAUCAGUGUUGUUUUAGUCUUUCUGUGAUAUAAUUAAAAAUGUUUUCUUCCAUGAUGACCUUUUAAAGUUUCUAAAAAGCUUUUUCUUUCUGCCUCCCCUUCACCCACAACCAGUGAAAUGUUGCUUUCGCAGGGGUUUUUUAUUUGGGCUCUUUGAAUCUUUUGUUUGAAGACAGAAUUCCAUGGCAACAAAAGGCUCCUCCCAGCUCCAAGAUUACAAAAUUCCCCUAAACGAUCCUGCUUUUGGUGAACGCCUCAGACUACUUUACUACGGGAAAGAGUUGGAUGGAACUUGCCUGGACGUGUUUAAUUACCUCGUUGUGAAUCACUGCUUUGAGAAUCACUGUAUCUCCGCUUCUGCCUUUAAGACGUAUCUUCUGAGCCAAGCUGAUGCUUUCCUGCUGGGUCCUGCUUUGCUUUCUUGUCCCUAAGCGGGUUGGGGAGUGGGAACAGAAGCUGCCUUUGUUUUUAGCCCGUUAUUUACAUGGUCAAGGGAGGGAGAACUCCUCGAGGGUGCUGGACUUCAUGAGUUUCCGACCUUAGUGACCUAAGGACUUUCCAGCAUUUCUUCCAAGGAUCCCUGUUUUGUAACAACAACCACACCCUCACUAAAGAACUGCCCUGUGACCUCCCGCUGAUGAGAAGCGUCGUUUAAGUGUAGUUCAGUACACUCAUUCUAGCACCCCUUGUACAGAAAUACAAUACAAAGAAAAUACAAAGAAACAAUACAAUACAAAGAAAACACGGCUUCUGCGCAAGGAUAAAUUUUUUACAUAUUUUUACAUAUUUCACAUAUGUAAAAUACGUAUUUGAUAAAUGUUAUAUUAAAGUAAGUAAAAGAAGGACGUGAAGGCAGAGGACAAAGUUUUGAGGGAGUGAGGAGUUAGAGGAAUGAUUUUGGUUGGAUAUGAUCAGAUACAUUGGAUAAGGGCUGGAGAGAUGGCUCAGUGGUUAAGAGCACUGGCUGUUCUUGCAGAGGACCGGGUUUAAUUCCCAGAACCCUCAUGGCAGUUCAUAACCAUCCGUAACUCCAGUUCCAGGGGGUCCAAUGCCCUCUUCUGACAUCUGAGAGUACCAGGCACACAUGUGGUGCAUUGUCAUACACAUGAGCAAUACACUCAUAUACUAAGAUAAAUCUAAAAUUGGAUUCAUGUAUGAAGUUAUUGAAUAAUAAAAUAUUUUUUAAAUAAAUGAAGAAUGGUUCAAAAUCACCAUUAUCUCUCUCUCUGAAAAACUAAAACAAGAAUUACCUACCACGGACUAGCCAAGUCAUCUGAGAGGUUUGCCUGUCUUUUGAAGCCAGUUUUAAUAUACAGGAAAACUGAAGAGCCUGUAAUAGAUGUUUUUUUAAUGCAACUAUUCCAGGAUCUUAGCGGGGGAAAUAGAGGGAUUUGGAAGUGUUGUUCAAUAGUACAAUAUCUGUAUAGCUGCAGGAGGCCCUGGUUUUCAUUUCCAGUACCACAAACACAAAUAAAACAAGUGGACAUUCAGUAUAUGACCACAACACUUUCAGAGGGAUGCAGUAGAAAAUGCCCCUGUGGCCACUCAGUUGUAGUUUUGUGAUAAAGCAGCUGCUGGAGGGUUGAGUUCAGGUUGAAAUCAUUUCAUUGCUAUGGGUUUCUUUGUAGCAAUAUGUACCGUGAUGCGUAUGAUGGCACAUGUAUCGCAAAACUGGAAUGCAUGUUUAAAAUAAACCAUUCAUGAGAAACUCA